CCGAGUUUACAACUCCCAAACCCAUGUGAACAUUACCAACUGUUGCCUCGGCGGAUCAGCCUGCUCCCGGGUGCGUCGCAGCCCGGACCAGGCCCCGCCAGGAGGACCACCACUCUUAUUAUACCCCUCCUGGUUUUCUAUCUGUAGCCUUCUCGGCGCCUAACUCGUGCGUUCGAAAAUAAAUCA
RNAcentral lists this unclassified non-coding RNA (186 nucleotides) under soil metagenome. RNAcentral's name for it is "partial internal transcribed spacer 1". The record is from RNAcentral.